CGGUUUCUCGCAGACGAAAUUUCUGUGAAAGGUUGAUAUUGUUUUGAGAUUCCCAAAUUGUAAUUCACUGCCCUGUUUCUAUUGUAAAGGAAGUGACUUAUGAAUUCUGGUAUAAAGCUGGCAUUACAUGGUUUUUGGAAAAAGAUAUAAAAUGUUUUGACACAAGCAUUGCCUGUAUAUUUCACCCUUAUAUCUUUGUUAAGAUUUAUAUAUUGUGUUGGAUUAUUUCUAUUGGGUUUUGGCUCACCCAAUGUGGGAAAAUCAUUUUCAGGUGCUGAUGAUAUGUCUCUGCAAGGAAAUAGAUUGGGAGGACUUGGAAGUAAAAGCUUCAUUUUGUUUAUUUUGUUGUAUUCCUUUUGUACAAGCCUAGGGCUUUAACUGUAUUGGAUUUAAAUCCAUUUUGUCGUAACUAAGAUAUGAUUUGUUUUAUAAAUGCUAUUUUGAGAAUCAUGAAUGGCUGUCCAGUUUUUCAGCAAUGUAUUCAUAACAUCCUUAGCAUCAAGUGUUCAUGUGAUAUCUGUGACCUAAAACCAGGGUUUCAAGUGGGUUCCAUCCAUGGAACUGGUUAUGCAUAACUGCUUAUAUGAUCUGCACGUGGGUCUUUAUGACUAUCUCAAGUGAAUGUGGGUCUUUAUGACCAUCCCAAGUGAAUGUGGGUCUUUAUAACCAAGUGAUUUGUUAGCUAAUGGUUGUACCACGUAUAACUGGUUGAGAAAUUUGUGUGAUCAGGCGCGUGAUCAGACCUAAGUUGCUACCUAGAUCUAUUUUGUGUCAGCCAACCUGUGCGCCUCCCAAGGAGGUUCCCGGAAUGCUUCAAGUGGUCGAAAUUUGUGAACUACAUUUAAGCCUUUUGUUUAUUUUGUUUAAGUCUAAUCAAGUUCUUAUACACUCUGUUUAUUGGGCUAAGGCCCAUUUUGAUUUAUCUGUAUAUAAGAUGACGUAAGGCUAAUGUGACAAUGAUAUCAUAUAUGUAAAUAGAAGUUUCAAAUUUUUUGUUCCA
Camellia sinensis is the source of this 1000-nucleotide non-coding RNA. Lineage: Eukaryota; Viridiplantae; Streptophyta; Magnoliopsida; Ericales; Theaceae. The record is from RefSeq and is a predicted model, not a curated record.